GUCAAUCACAGCAACCUUCGGUCUAUAAUAUGCAGGCCGAUGUUCAAAUUUAAUGAACAGGGAAUCUAUUCACGUCUGAGUCCCUGGAUAGAAAUAGUCUACGAUGUUUUCCUUGACUCUAAAGUGAAAAUUGCGAACCUUAGAACUUGAGCCUCCCAGGUCACAAACACUUCCUUUAUUUAAAACAGUCAACUGUCCAUGCACGUCACUUGCUAAACCAGUUGCCAAAGGUUCUGCCUUAAUUAUAACAUCAGCAAAGUACUCCGGUUGCAAGAUUAACGGCAACAUAUUUGCACUGGAAUAGAUAUCCUCGUGAUUAAGAGUAACAAAGGAACAGCCAUAUUUUGCUUUCAGAGUGUAGCAGUAGUGUAGAAAAUCUAACACGUGAUUUGAUGAACCAUUAGCCGCCACUUCAAUAAGGGAGACGUCAUCAAUCAUAAUAGUAAUGGUUCUACUACCUUCAAGUGAAGAAUAUAUCUCUACUGCUUUCUCAA
RNAcentral lists this unclassified non-coding RNA (494 nucleotides) under Hevea brasiliensis (rubber tree). The record is from RNAcentral. Lineage: Eukaryota; Viridiplantae; Streptophyta; Magnoliopsida; Malpighiales; Euphorbiaceae.